UACGGAGGGAGCUAGCGUUGUUCGGAAUUACUGGGCGUAAAGGGCGCGUAGGCGGACAGUUUAGUCAGAGGUGAAAGCCCAGGGCUCAACCUUGGAAUUGCCUUUGAUACUGGCUGUCUUGAGUUCGGGAGAGGUGAGUGGAAUGCCGAGUGUAGAGGUGAAAUUCGUAGAUAUUGGGAAGAACACCAGUGGCGAAGGCGGCUCACUGGCCCGGUACUGACGCUGAGGCGCGAAAGCGUGGGGAGCAAACAGG
This 253-nucleotide ribosomal RNA is filed under the name uncultured bacterium. RNAcentral describes it as "partial 16S ribosomal RNA". It matches the Rfam family "Bacterial small subunit ribosomal RNA", at positions 524 to 776 of the family's 1533-position model. The record is from RNAcentral.